This 237-nucleotide ribosomal RNA is filed under the name uncultured bacterium. RNAcentral describes it as "partial 16S ribosomal RNA". It matches the Rfam family "Bacterial small subunit ribosomal RNA", at positions 97 to 334 of the family's 1533-position model. The record is from RNAcentral.
GGCGGACGGGUGCGUAACACGUAGGUGACCUGCCCUGGAGUGGGGGAUAACCGCGGGAAACUGCGGCUAAUACCGCAUGAGCUUGUGGAGAUGGGAAUCUCUGUAAGUAAAGUUCAGGCGCUCUGGGAGGGGCCUGCGGCCGAUUAGCUAGUUGGUGGGGUAAAGGCCUACCAAGGCGAUGAUCGGUAGCUGUUCUGAGAGGAAGACCAGCCACACGGGAACUGAGACACGGUCCCG